GUGUCAGCAGCCGCGGUAAUACGGAGGGUGCAAGCGUUAUCCGGAUUCACUGGGUUUAAAGGGUGCGUAGGCGGGCUUGUAAGUCAGUGGUGAAAGCCCGGAGCUCAACUCCGGAACUGCCAUUGAUACUGCAAGUCUUGAGUACACUUGAGGUGGGCGGAAUACAUCAUGUAGUGGUGAAAUACUUAGAUAUGAUGUAGAACACCGAUUGCGAAGGCAGCUCACUAAAUUGUAACUGACGCUGAGGCACGAAAGCGUGGGGAUCAAACAGGAUUAGAUACCCCGGUAGUCC
Molecule: ribosomal RNA, 292 nt
Filed under: uncultured bacterium
Lineage: Bacteria
Description: partial 16S ribosomal RNA
Rfam family: Bacterial small subunit ribosomal RNA
Source: RNAcentral